GGGCCUAUAGCUCAGUUGGUUAGAGCAAGCGACUCAUAAUCGCUGGGUCAUUGGUUCAAGUCCAAUUAGGCCCACCA
Molecule: transfer RNA, 77 nt
Filed under: Patescibacteria group bacterium
Lineage: Bacteria
Description: tRNA-Ile
Rfam family: tRNA
About the family: Transfer RNA (tRNA) molecules are approximately 80 nucleotides in length. Their secondary structure includes four short double-helical elements and three loops (D, anti-codon, and T loops).
Source: RNAcentral